Molecule: non-coding RNA, 1188 nt
Organism: Microcebus murinus (gray mouse lemur)
Lineage: Eukaryota; Metazoa; Chordata; Mammalia; Primates; Cheirogaleidae
Source: RefSeq, a predicted model, not a curated record
GUGAUCCUCCUGCCUCUGCCUCCCUGGUAGCUGGGACUACAGCAACCAUGAAGUUUGACCCCACCCAGCUCCUCAAGUGCGUUCUGAUGGACUGAAUUAAGCAAGAUAAUCUCUUUUUCCAAUCAGUCUGUGGCAUUUCCCUGUCUGUGGAUGGCUUCAAGGCUGACCUAACCAGUGUGGAGAUCAAGUGUUUUGUUUGGAAUGCUGGCACACACUUUCUGGGCAGUGUGGUGUGAAUCCAUGAAAUCUGAAGCUGCUGCAGCCUCUUUGUCACCAAGAGGGCAGCCAGACUACCAAGGAGGAAGCUGGACAUGGGGAGACGGGAAGAAAGAGGAAAUUUCAGAGAAAUUGAACUACAGCUCUCAUCAAACCAUAUCUGAAGCCAACAUCUCUCUGGUCUUUAUAUUUACAAUUUAAGUUGAUAUUCACAGUCAGAUUUUCUGUUACUUCUGAGAACAUUCUACCUGAGGUAAAUGAGGGGCUCCAUUUUGCAAGCUGAUUUUGAGGUACCCAUGGGAUAUCUAAGUGGUGCCGCUAAUUGCCCAUUUUUCUAAGUCAUAGGGUCAGUGUUUUUCUUAUCAAUCCGUGUGCCCUUUAUAUAUGAAGACUACAGUAAGACUGCUGACAAAUAAUUUUUGGCCAAUUUUCUGUUUUCCCUUUUGUUUACGAUGGAUGUUGACAGCCAGAUGCUUUUCAUUUUCAGUUAGAUAAAUCUACUAAUUGCUACUUUGGGGGAUUCUUUUAUGUCAGGAAGGACUUUGAUAUACUUACUCUAAAUUGUCCAGGGCUUGGAUGGCCCCCAGUGGGGAAGACAUCAUAUUCCACACCUCUGACCACAGAGGUCGAUCAUGGAUAAGCACACGUUCCAAGAUGGCUCAGUGGCCGUCCAUCUCAGCACCUUUGUGGGAACUAUUGAGAAGCAGAAAAGAACCUGCUGGAAAAGAAGACCAACCCAGGAGAAAGCAGAACCAAAAGAUGGUGAAAGACAGGCUGUCCUGAUGACCUACCCUGAGGACAUGGGUCCCAUCACACCCAGCAUUCUGGCCUUUUCAUUACACACACCGUUCCAGUCUCUGCCUUCAUUGUCGGACGAUGUUCUCCCUGGGUGUCUCUGUGUCUGUAUCUUCUUCACAUGGUAUCUUUAUGAGGACAUCAGUCAUCAGAUGAGAUGGCUCAAGGGAGUUGUUC